This 72-nucleotide small RNA is filed under the name Arabidopsis thaliana (thale cress). RNAcentral describes it as "ATSL128180". The record is from RNAcentral. Lineage: Eukaryota; Viridiplantae; Streptophyta; Magnoliopsida; Brassicales; Brassicaceae.
AAGAUGGAGACCAAAUACGAAGAUAUGUUACCAGUUAUGGCGGAGAAGAUGGAUGUUGAAGAGUUUGUAUCA